Molecule: ribosomal RNA, 468 nt
Filed under: uncultured bacterium
Lineage: Bacteria
Description: partial 16S ribosomal RNA
Rfam family: Bacterial small subunit ribosomal RNA
Source: RNAcentral
GACGAACGCUGGCGGCGUGCUUAACACAUGCAAGUCGAACGGAAAGGCCCUGCUUUUGUGGGGUGCUCGAGUGGCGAACGGGUGAGUAACACGUGAGUAACCUGCCCUUGACUUUGGGAUAACUUCAGGAAACUGGGGCUAAUACCGGAUAGGAGCUCCUGCUGCAUGGUGGGGGUUGGAAAGUUUCGGCGGUUGGGGAUGGACUCGCGGCUUAUCAGCUUGUUGGUGGGGUAGUGGCUUACCAAGGCUUUGACGGGUAGCCGGCCUGAGAGGGUGACCGGCGACAUGGGGCCUGAGGUACGGACCAGAAUGGUACGGGAGGCAACGGGGGAGAGUCUGACAGAGUAGGGGGACGCCAGAGGCGGCGGCGCCCGGAGCGGAAUGACGGCCUUCGAGCUGUGAACAGAUUUCGAAUGUAACGAGGAGAGAGUGACGGUAAUGAAUAAGAAAGCACCGGCUAACUACGUG